AGUGAACGCUGGCGGUAGGCCUAAUACGUGCAAGUCGAACGGCAGCACAGUAAGAGCUUGCUCUUACGGGUGGCGAGUGGCGGACGGGUGAGGAAUACAUCGGAAUCUACUUUUUCGUGGGGGAUAACGUAGGGAAACUUACGCUAAUACCGCAUACGACCUACGGGUGAAAGCAGGGGAUCUUCGGACCUUGCGCGAUUGAAUGAGCCGAUGUCGGAUUAGCUAGUUGGCGGGGUAAAGGCCCACCAAGGCGACGAUCCGUAGCUGGUCUGAGAGGAUGAUGAGCCACACUGGAACUGAGACACGGUCCAGACUCCUACGGGAGGCAGCAGUGGGGAAUAUUGGACAAUGGGCGCAAGCCUGAUCCAGCCAUACCGCGUGGGUGAAGAAGGCCUUCGGGUUGUAAAGCCCUUUUGUUGGGAAAGAAAAGCAGCAGGUUAAUACCCCGCUGUUCUGACGGUACCCAAAGAAUAAGCACCGGCUAACUUCGUG
This 492-nucleotide ribosomal RNA is filed under the name uncultured bacterium. Its description in RNAcentral is "partial 16S ribosomal RNA". It matches the Rfam family "Bacterial small subunit ribosomal RNA", at positions 29 to 507 of the family's 1533-position model. The record is from RNAcentral.